This is a long non-coding RNA of Mya arenaria, 1096 nucleotides long. RefSeq lists it as uncharacterized. Lineage: Eukaryota; Metazoa; Mollusca; Bivalvia; Myida; Myidae. The record is from RefSeq and is a predicted model, not a curated record. The transcript is spliced from 2 exons.
CAAAGUAUAAUCAGGAAUUUCUUAAUAAACGAUUUAACAACUCAACAGCAAGCAUACCACGAAUACUGCACGUUCUCGUAAAUGCAAGUGCCCUUUCAUGCUGGGAUAUAUAAAUACAGCUGGUGAUGCAAUAGCAGUUGUAACAUGUGCACCGCUUAAGUGAUGACCGUUUAUAUAUCAGUGUGGUUGAAACAUACGAGGACUGUGGUUACAAGUGAUUUGGAGACUUGCUACAACAGCGAUAAUGUGGCUGGUUCAGUUAUCCACGGAUUAUUUUCUCUUGUUAAUCACUCUACCAGCGUGGAUGGCACAAGAAAGUUUCGGCUACAUAAUGGAUUCCCGACCCCAACAGACAUUUCCGUUUCCGGUUAUCGGACAAAUGUAUCCUACGGGAAAGCAUCUAAAUCCUAAGAAAUUAUUCAGACGUCUUGGAAAUAGUUUUGAUCCAGAAUGGAUGUCUGUGACAGAUCCAAGCGAAAAUAAGUUGUUCCAAAACUCGUCUGUUCACGAAUCUCAUCCAAAUGAUUUGUACGCAUACUCCAUGACACGAGCAAAAGUUUCCGAUAUUUUGCGGGAUAAAUAUAACCUUGGAGUCAAUAUCGAAUCUUUGGACGUGAUUGUUAAUUUUUUGCACGAGCUUUCCACGUGUCACGUGAAAUACAUUUGGGAAGAUUUAGGGCAGUUGUUUUGGCCUCGUUUUGUGAAAAAAGGUUCAUGUGAUUCUUCUGGUCCCUGUUCGUGGCCCCCAGGCAUGAGAUGCCAAAAAGGUAAAGCUAAGGAACUCAAAUUUUUAAGGUGGAUCUGCAAAAAAGGUCGACGAAAAAGCGUGGGACGAAAAGAGAAAGUAAAUUUCACCAACAAACGACACAACCGGAAAACAAAGCACGUGAGACUCGGUGAUAAGGUAAAAUGUAAGUGGAGAAAAAUUCCGUACGAAAUAAUAACGUCUUGUGUUUGCAAGUGCGAUUAGACCAUAGAUGUUUGAAAGUUGCUCAGAUGAAAAAGCAGACAACCGAAAACAUCUUUUUUGUGUAUGUUGAUCUUUGUAUUGUUUUGUUUAACUAGUCUGUUUAAUCAUUUAUAAAUAUAAGUCUUG